UACGAAGGGGGCUAGCGUUGUUCGGAAUCACUGGGCGUAAAGGGCGCGUAGGCGGUUCGAUAAGUCCCGUGUGAAAUCCCUCGGCUCAACUGAGGAACUGCACGGGAAACUGACGGGCUUGAGUUCGGGAGAGGGAAGCGGAAUUCCGGGUGUAGCGGUGAAAUGCGUAGAUAUCUGGAGGAACACCCGUGGCGAAGGCGGUUCUCUGGAACGCAACUGACGCUGAGACGCGAAAGCGUGGGGAGCAAACAGG
This 253-nucleotide ribosomal RNA is filed under the name uncultured bacterium. RNAcentral describes it as "partial 16S ribosomal RNA". It matches the Rfam family "Bacterial small subunit ribosomal RNA", at positions 524 to 776 of the family's 1533-position model. The record is from RNAcentral.